This 551-nucleotide ribosomal RNA is filed under the name uncultured fungus. RNAcentral's name for it is "eukaryotic LSU rRNA". It matches the Rfam family "Eukaryotic large subunit ribosomal RNA", at positions 71 to 647 of the family's 3401-position model. Lineage: Eukaryota; Fungi. The record is from RNAcentral.
GGGAUUCCCCUAGUAACGGCGAGUGAAGCGGGAACAGCUCAAAUUUGAAAUCUGGCCCUUGGGUCCGAAUUGUAAUUUGUAGAGGAUGCUUUUGGUUAGGUACUUUCCGAGUUCCCUGGAACGGGACGCCUUAGAGGGUGAGAGCCCCGUACGGUUGGAUACCGAGCCUCUGUAAAGCUCCUUCGACGAGUCGAGUAGUUUGGGAAUGCUGCUCUAAAUGGGAGGUAAAUUUCUUCUAAAGCUAAAUACCGGCCAGAGACCGAUAGCGCACAAGUAGAGUGAUCGAAAGAUGAAAAGCACUUUGAAAAGAGGGUUAAAUAGCACGUGAAAUUGUUGAAAGGGAAGGGUUUAUGACCAGACUUUUUCCAGGCGGAUCAUCCGGUGUUCUCACCGGUGCACUUCGUCUGGUUGAGGCCAGCAUCGGUUUUUGUAGGGGGAUAAAAGCAGUAGGAAUGUGACUCCUCCGGGAGUGUUAUAGCCUAUUGUAUAAUACCCCUACGGAGACCGAGGUUCGCGCAUUGCAAGGAUGCUGGCGUAAUGGUUAUUAACCA